UUCCCGUUGUCACUUUGGUUUUGCCCAGUUUGGACUCUGAAUUGAAUAACUGAACAAACCGAAGCAGACGGAGCCUGGAGGUGGUAUUAGAUGACCUACCGUUCCUACAGCAUCAAGUGUUAAACUGCACCAUUUUAAUUGUUGGGUAGAUCAUUUUAAACUCUCAUUUUGGGGGAGCUGCCCUCGCUGACCCCUGGACGGCAAUGAGUGGAAUGUGCGGACAGAAAGGACAAGACGGACAGAACAGACUCUCAGGGAGGAGAGACUCCGCCUGCAGCGAUUGCCUUACUCCGCAUGGGCCGCCAUCCCUCUCUGGAUCACCUAUGCUACGGUUAUUCCAUGUUAGACGCUCUCUUCUCCCUUCGGACGUCACUCGCUCCUAAAAUGCUUUGCUAAAGCUGGUAAAAUGGAACCAAAUCAACUGUUCAAUGGAUUUGGUCCCCUUCAACCAGCUGUAGCUGUGCAUUGAUCACUCCGAACAUCCGACGGAACGCAGUGGAACCAAAGAAACGCCUUUGUACGCUUAAACUCAUUGUCAUGUAAUUCUUCUUACCAGCGACUGUGAACAUUUAUCUCUUUUAAACAGAUUACCUGAAACAAUUUAGCUCAUCUGAAUGAAACAGCCAAGUCAGUAAUUAUAGUUAUCUUAGCGUGCGCCGUGUUCGACUGCGUUAAGCUGCAGCUGUCUUGUCCUUUGGUGAAUUAAAUUGUUCUUUGGAUAUUUUUUAUGGGUCCUGAAAGGUAUUAUUGAGAAGUAAAAGGACGUGAGAAAGGUGCUCAGGUUUGUUCCAAAUAUGUAUGUGUGUUAAUAAAGCCUCAAAUAGUUCAAAUUUAUAAACCUUUCUCUUAAAUAUGUGUAAAUAGAUCAGUUUUCAAUAUAUUGUGUCUAUUUUAACAUGAAUAAAGUUUUUUUUUAUUCAGUAAUACAUUUGGUUUUGUGGGAUUGAUAGGAUGUAGUAACACGACUUUGCAUGAAGAAUCAUUUUAUAAGCAGUGAUGUUAGAUGAAGCUGUUUUUUUCUCUUACUGUUACAAAUAUAAGAAAUAAGUUAAAACUCUGCUGUGGUCACCGUAGGAGCCAAUUAUUUUUUUGUUAAUAAUUAACUAAAUGUUUUAUAUUUGUGGAUAAUCGAACUAAGUUGAUUCUACUCUAUUGUUUGAUAUCUGUUUUAAGAUUAUGUUAUUUGGUUAUUUAGUUAUGUCCCUUUGUUUCUGGAUAGUUAUGAUUAAUUUGGGUGAAUGAAGUUUAUAAAUAGGCAGUCAAUGGUAGGACCAGCAUGCAUCUGGGUGGGCGGAUGUUUUUUUUAAUCAGCGCAAGAGAAGCAAGGAGGAAAUGUUUGUCCUUUUCUGUUUGCUUGCCUGAUGAGAAAUAAACUAAGAACACUGAAGGAAUUUACCUGGAACAUUUUGUUCUUUUUUACUUGUCCUUUCUGCAUCUGUAGCCAUUGUGGAUUUUUUCCCUUUUGUGUCAUCAAAGCUGGACCACAACAGUCACAUAAGAAUGUAUUUACGAUAGAAAAGUGCUUUUCCUCCUUUUCUGU
Molecule: long non-coding RNA, 1540 nt
Organism: Cyprinodon variegatus (sheepshead minnow)
Lineage: Eukaryota; Metazoa; Chordata; Actinopteri; Cyprinodontiformes; Cyprinodontidae
Exons: 3
Source: RefSeq, a predicted model, not a curated record